RNAcentral lists this ribosomal RNA (163 nucleotides) under Ipomoea imperati. RNAcentral describes it as "5.8S ribosomal RNA". It matches the Rfam family "5.8S ribosomal RNA". Rfam says of the family: 5.8S ribosomal RNA (5.8S rRNA) is a component of the large subunit of the eukaryotic ribosome. The record is from RNAcentral. Lineage: Eukaryota; Viridiplantae; Streptophyta; Magnoliopsida; Solanales; Convolvulaceae.
AUACGACUCUCGGCAACGGAUAUCUCGGCUCUCGCAUCGAUGAAGAACGUAGCGAAAUGCGAUACUUGGUGUGAAUUGCAGAAUCCCGUGAACCAUCGAGUCUUUGAACGCAAGUUGCGCCCGAAGCCGUCAGGCUGAGGGCACGUCUGCCUGGGCGUCACGC